Molecule: long non-coding RNA, 1381 nt
Organism: Equus caballus (horse)
Lineage: Eukaryota; Metazoa; Chordata; Mammalia; Perissodactyla; Equidae
Source: RefSeq, a predicted model, not a curated record
GUGAGACCCCAGGGACUUUCAGGACUCAGGUCUUUGCAGCCUCGCAGCCCGUCUGUCUCUCGGUCACUCCUGCUCGUUACUACCCUUCUGGGGACUCACGCUCAGUAGGUUGAUUAGCCAUUACUCUCAUCGUUCAAUAUGCUUACUAGAAGUGUUCGUUGACAAUAACUUGAAAAACACAGAUGGGCAAACAGCACAAAACCGACGGCCCGAGUAAUCCCGCCUUCAGACUUUACCUCCGGCGUGGCGCUCGCUUUCGCCCGCAGCCGUGCGGAGACCCGGGCACGCGCCCCGCUCCGCACAGGGCACCGAGCCUGGGUUUUGUUUCCCUUGGCCUCCUCUCUUCUGCGUCUGUGGACUGGCACGGCCAUCCCAGGCGGAGAGUCCAGCGCGCUGUUUUCGAUGAGAGGGGCGUGAGGAGUACACCCGGCCGGGGUCGCGGGGAGCUGGCGCCUCACACGACCCUGGACACGCGACACUGGGACUAGGCCCAGGGAAAGGGGGGAAAAAUUUUUUUUAAAAGCACGGUUGCGUUGGCCGGGAAUCGAACCCGGGUCAACUGCUUGGAAGGCAGCUAUGCUCACCACUAUACCACCAACGCCGGCUAGCAAGCUUUCUUCCUGGGAUUCUUUAGGACUUAGAUACGUCGGCAGAGUCGUGGCCUGGGAGAUGUAACUUGGGGUCUGAACCAGAGCCCAGCAAGGGGUAAACACGAGGAAGGCCGAGACACAACGGCUGCGGUCUGCGGGGCACGCACGUGUGAGCGGCGCUCGGCUCCCAUCACCGCCAGUGCGCUCCAGUCACCCCACGAGAAACUGUGUGAUUCUACCCAGUCGACAGAGGGGGAAACCAAGGUCCAGAGAAGUUAAGUGAAGGGGUUUUCUGGCAGAGCUGGGAUUCAACCGUAAGAUUUUCUAGGGGCCCAGAUCUGCAUCGACAUAAUGGCUCUAUCAUCCCCCAAAAUAAAUCCCGAACACAUAAAAUCGCUUCUCUGUUGCGUGACCUCAGUGUGUCCCAAGAUUAAAGAAUCGGGCCUUAAACCAAGUGCGCCCAAGCCCAAUUUGUCCAGAGGAGGAUGUUUAAUUCCCUUGUGCGCGCGCAUCUAGUCUGCUAGCCGCUCUGAGAAACACGUGGACAAAAAUCUUCGGGGCGAGGUCUGAGAAUCAAACUCCGCCCCUAUUGCUGAUGAUGUGUCUGUUCACGAGACCCGUCAAGCGGCGGCCUCCAGAAGGCCUCGUGGCGCAACGGUAGCGCGUCUGACUCCAGAUCAGAAGGUUGCGUGUUCAAAUCACGUCGGGGUCAAAAGGUCACUUGUUUUCCGUAUCUGGAUAGACUGACUCGCUGUAAGAUAUUUCAAUAAAGAAAAAUGCACCUGCUUUUA